This 118-nucleotide ribosomal RNA is filed under the name Lepisosteus oculatus (spotted gar). Lineage: Eukaryota; Metazoa; Chordata; Actinopteri; Semionotiformes; Lepisosteidae. The record is from RNAcentral.
UACAGCAGCUAUAUUUCACUGCAGCUCUCAACUGGCAGCCCACUGAAGCCCAGCAGGUGUGAGCCUGGUUGGUACCUGGAUGGGAGACCUCCCGGGAAAGCUUAGGUUGCUGCUGGAA